Molecule: ribosomal RNA, 254 nt
Filed under: uncultured bacterium
Lineage: Bacteria
Description: partial 16S ribosomal RNA
Rfam family: Bacterial small subunit ribosomal RNA
Source: RNAcentral
CACGUAGGGGGCAAGCGUUGUCCGGAUUUAUUGGGCGUAAAGAGCUCGUAGGCGGCUCUGUAAGUCGGGUGUGAAACCUCCAGGCUCAACCUGGAGACGCCACCCGAUACUGCUGUGGCUUGAGUCCGGUAGGGGAGCGUGGAAUUCCUGGUGUAGCGGUGAAAUGCGCAGAUAUCAGGAGGAACACCAGCGGCGAAGGCGGCGCUCUGGGCCGGAACUGACGCUGAGGAGCGAAAGUGUGGGGAGCGAACAGG